CCUACGGGUGGCAGCAGUGAGGAAUAUUGGUCAAUGGACGCAAGUCUGAACCAGCCAUGCCGCGUGCAGGAAGACGGCUCUAUGAGUUGUAAACUGCUUUUGUACGAGGGUAAACGCAGAUACGCGUAUCUGUCUGAAAGUAUCGUACGAAUAAGGAUCGGCUAACUCCGUGCCAGCAGCCGCGGUAAUACGGAGGAUUCAAGCGUUAUCCGGAUUUAUUGGGUUUAAAGGGUGCGUAGGCGGUCGGAUAAGUUAGAGGUAAAAUCCCGGGGCUCAACUUCGGAAUUGCCUCUGAUACUGUUGGGCUGGAGAGUAGUUGCGGUAGGCGGAAUGUAUGGUGUAGCGGUGAAAUGCUUAGAGAUCAUACAGAACCCCAAUUGCGAAGGCAGCUUACCAAGCUACUU
This 404-nucleotide ribosomal RNA is filed under the name uncultured bacterium. RNAcentral describes it as "partial 16S ribosomal RNA". It matches the Rfam family "Bacterial small subunit ribosomal RNA", at positions 338 to 739 of the family's 1533-position model. The record is from RNAcentral.